This 460-nucleotide ribosomal RNA is filed under the name uncultured bacterium. RNAcentral describes it as "partial 16S ribosomal RNA". It matches the Rfam family "Bacterial small subunit ribosomal RNA", at positions 338 to 795 of the family's 1533-position model. The record is from RNAcentral.
CCUACGGGAGGCAGCAGUGAGGAAUUUUGGUCACUGGCCGUACGGCUGAACCAGCCAAGUCGCGUGAGUGAAGAAGGAUCUAUUGUUUGUCAACUUCUUUUAUAGGGGAAUAAAGGUAUCCACGUGUGGAUCUUUGCAUGUACCCUAUGAAUAAGCAUCGGCUAACUCCGUGCCAGCAGCCGCGGUAAUACGGAGGCUGCGAGCGUUGUACGGAUUUAUUGGGUUUAAGGGGUGCGUAGGUUGUUUUUUAAGUCAGCGGUGAAAGUUUGUGGCUCAACCAUAAAAUUGCCGUUGAAACUGGAAGACUUGAGUGUGUUUGAGGUAGGCGGAAUGCGUGGUGUAGCGGUGAAAUGCAUAGAUAUCACGCAGAACUCCGAUUGCGAAGGCAGCUUACUAAGCCAUAACUGACACUGAAGCACGAAAGCGUGGGGAUCAAACAGGAUUAGAUACCCCUGUAGUC